RNAcentral lists this ribosomal RNA (256 nucleotides) under uncultured bacterium. RNAcentral's name for it is "partial 16S ribosomal RNA". It matches the Rfam family "Bacterial small subunit ribosomal RNA", at positions 524 to 776 of the family's 1533-position model. The record is from RNAcentral.
UACAGAGACUGCAAGCGUUAUUCGGAUUCACUGGGCGUAAAGGGUGCGCAGGCGGUUACGUGUGUUAGGUGUGAAAUCCCGAAGCUCAACUUCGGAACUGCGCCUAAAACUACGUGACUAGAGCAUUGGAGAGGGUAGCGGAAGUUCACGGUGUAGCAGUGAAAUGCGUAGAGAUCGUAAGGAAGACCAGUGGCGAAGGCGGGUCUCUGGGCCGUAACUGACGCGUGGAGGAGCGAAAGCAUGGGGAGCGAACAGG